This 497-nucleotide ribosomal RNA is filed under the name uncultured bacterium. RNAcentral describes it as "partial 16S ribosomal RNA". It matches the Rfam family "Bacterial small subunit ribosomal RNA", at positions 28 to 507 of the family's 1533-position model. The record is from RNAcentral.
GAUGAACGCUGGCGGCGUGCCUAAUACAUGCAAGUCGAGCGAACGGACGAGAAGCUUGCUUCUCUGAUGUUAGCGGCGGACGGGUGAGUAACACGUGGAUAACCUACCUAUAAGACUGGGAUAACUUCGGGAAACCGGAGCUAAUACCGGAUAAUAUUUUGAACCGCAUGGUUCAAAAGUGAAAGACGGUCUUGCUGUCACUUAUAGAUGGAUCCGCGCUGCAUUAGCUAGUUGGUAAGGUAACGGCUUACCAAGGCAACGAUGCAUAGCCGACCUGAGAGGAUGAUCGGCCACACGAGAACGGAGACACGGUCCAGACUCCUAAGGGAGGCAGCAGUAGGGAAUCUUCCGCAAUGGGCGGAAGCCUGACGGAGCAACGGCGCGUGAGUGAUGAAGGUCUUCGGAUCGUAAAACUCUGUUAUUAGGGAAGAACAAAUGUGUAAGUAACUGGGCACAUCUUGACGGUACCUAAUCAGAAAGCCACGGCUAACUACGUG